RNAcentral lists this ribosomal RNA (313 nucleotides) under uncultured Victivallaceae bacterium. RNAcentral's name for it is "bacterial SSU rRNA". It matches the Rfam family "Bacterial small subunit ribosomal RNA", at positions 1073 to 1382 of the family's 1533-position model. Lineage: Bacteria; Pseudomonadati; Lentisphaerota; Lentisphaeria; Victivallales; Victivallaceae. The record is from RNAcentral.
GUUCCGGUUAAGUCCGGCAACGAGCGCAACCCGUACUGCCUGUUACCAGCGCGGUAAUGGCGGGGACUCUGGCAGGACUGCCCGUGUUAAGCGGGAGGAAGGUGCGGAUGACGUCAAGUCAGUAUGGCCCUUACAUCCAGGGCUGCACACGUGCUACAAUGGGUGGUACAGUGGGACGCAAGACCGCGAGGUGGAGCUAAUCCCCAAAACCACCCCCAGUUCAGAUCGGAGUCUGCAACUCGACUCCGUGAAGCCGGAAUCGCUAGUAAAGGCGUAUCAGCUACGACCGCCUUCGAAUACGUUCCCGGGCCUU